RNAcentral lists this transfer RNA (83 nucleotides) under Patescibacteria group bacterium. RNAcentral's name for it is "tRNA-Tyr". It matches the Rfam family "tRNA". Rfam says of the family: Transfer RNA (tRNA) molecules are approximately 80 nucleotides in length. The record is from RNAcentral. RNAcentral also lists the same sequence under 1 other name.
GCGUCGGUGGUAGAGCGGUCAAAUACUCGAGUCUGUAAAACUCGCGCCUUCGGGCUACGCAGGUUCGAAUCCUGCCCGGCGCA